Loxodonta africana (African savanna elephant) is the source of this 3865-nucleotide long non-coding RNA. RefSeq lists it as uncharacterized. The record is from RefSeq and is a predicted model, not a curated record. The transcript has 3 exons. Lineage: Eukaryota; Metazoa; Chordata; Mammalia; Proboscidea; Elephantidae.
CACAAGCACAAGUUGCAAAAAAAGGGACUCCACAGAUAUUUUCAAUGGCAUUUUGGACUCACAAGCACAAGUUGCAAAAAAAGGGACUCCACAGAUAUUUUCAAUGGCAUUUUGGACUCACAAGCACAAGUUGCAAAAAAAGGGACUCCACAGAUAUUUUCAAUGGCCACGUAUCCAAAGCUUUAUUCUAUUUUAGUCAAAUUUGUGAAAUAACGAGGGGAGAAAAAGAAAAGAAUCAGUUAUCAAGAGCUGUUUCCUGUGCCCUGUUUCUGGCUGGUUAAUGACUAAGUCAGUAGUCAUCGUCUCUAUACAUUAGAAACACCGUGUACUUGGAUAAAACACUACACUCUCUAGUAGAGAAUUUUAGUCUAAGUGCUCAUUGGCAGCUUACCUCCCCAAACUAGAAACCUCAUAUGGUCAUGUAGGUAAGAGACAGGAAGAUCAGUGAGGCAAGAGGGAAAAGAGGAAACAGUAUACCGAUGUAGUAAGAGUUGCAGUGAUUUCUGCAGCAGAGAGAGGAACAUUCAGCAGCGGGGUGGUGUCAUGGCCUGGAGAAGAAGCUACAGCAGCAGAUGCAGAUGGAAUCUUUGAGAAACCCAGGGGAGUGUUCACUAACAGGCCAUUAGACUGGAGCGGUGAUUACUGUCUUUUUACCAAAAUAACGUGUGCCUUCUCCGUUUUUUUUCCAACCGUGCCCUGCUUCCCCCUCAAAGUAUUUUGAAAACUCUUGGUAUUUUUGAUGGAAAGAGAACGUACAAGUCAAGAAGAGACUGGAAAUCCCUGGAAAGAAAAUGGAACCCAAGGAAGAAGACUGUGAAGCAGACAGGUUUGGCCUAAUUAAAAACAAAUAUUUCAGAUAAAUGAAAAAAAAAAAAAAAUCAGAGUAAAUUCAGUUCUUUGGACUCAAAUAUUUCUCCUAGCUCAUCCCAUGGACUCUUGAGUUGAAUUCCAUGGAUGGGGAUAUCGUUAGCACCAAAUGGAGGAGUCAUUUUCACUAAAACUCAGUGGGCCUGUGGCCAGACAACAGUGUUGAAUUUCCAGAGAUGCAGAGAAUAACUAAGCAGGGGAGAAAAACCUUCUCUGAGCUUUGUUUAGAGCACGUCAGUGCUGUAGGUGCGGAAGAUUCCAGCGUCCAUGAGGCACCUUUGGUACUUGUCUGCCUCAGCACAUCAACAGCAGCCUUGGAGAUGGCAGAAGUGCUCAUUGUAGCAUCCAGGAUCAUGGCUCAGUCUCACAUGGGCAAGAUGGCUGCAGAAGCUCCAUACCUCGUCUCCUUCCAUGUUCAAGUCCAAUGAGAAAAACAAAGUCAUCUUCCAAGGAUUACCAACAUAAGUCUCAUCAUGUUAAUUGGCCCUGACUGAGUAAUGUAUAUCAGUGUGAAUGAAUUAUUAUAUUCAGAAGAAAGUGUUACAUUCUUUGCCCUCAGUUUUCUCAUCUUUAAAAUGAGGCUACUACUUUCAUGUCCAAAAGAGCAUGACAUUAAGGACCAAAUAAAAAACAUCAUGACCUGUCCGGAGAGAGAUUGCUUAAGAAAGGAAAAGCGUUCUUUCUCCUUUUUAAACAAGGUUUUCUGCAUUUUUAUUUUGCACCAGGCCCUCAAAUUAUGUACUUAUACUUACAAGGUAGUUGUAAAAACUAAAUAAAUUAAUGAAAGUAAAACAUUGAGAAUAGCGUUUGGCACAUAAAAAACAGUAAAUGCAAUUAUUACUCUUAUCAUAAAAUAUCCAAGGCCUUCUUAAAGCAUACAUCUGAUUGCAAUGUUCUCAGAUUACAAUUGUCAGCCUUAAUUAGGCUAGUUUGUUUUUCUCAGGUCACUUUAAAUAAGAAUUUAUCACUGUGACUAAGAGCUUGCCUGUUAACCAGAGAUAGGCAGUUGGAAUCCACCAGCUGCUCCUUGGAAACCAUAUGGGGGCAGCUCUACUUUGUCUUAGAGGGUUGCUUUGAGCCUGAAUUGACUUCAUGGCAACAGGUUUCAGUUUUUUGUUUUUUUUUUUAAUUAUUAUUAUGUAUUUGAGAAAAGGGAUGUUGGUUGCAAAACGAAUUUUAUUUUUUCUUCAAUAUCCAACAGUCAAGCCAGCUGUUUUAAUUGAGACUACCAAUGGGAAGCUACUUAAUGAGGUUGCUUAUCGUUUAAUAAUGUGUGCAGCAUACAUUAUUUGCCUUAAUGUCAUUCCUGAGGCAUUUCCCUGUGUUUCAGAAUAUAAGCAGUGAAAAAAAAGAAUACAGUGUGAUUCCAUAUUCCCACAACACCUAGUGAGAAAUAAUAUGCUUCCUCGAAUGUGGUUCUGUCAUUUAUUUUAUUUUGAAUCCCUUCACAGGAAACCUCUUCAAGUACUUAUUUACUUAUUACAUAUAUGCUAAAGACCCCAAUAAUUCCAGCACACAAUUGAUUUCAGUCUGAAUCCUUAUUACACCUGUCAAAGUGCUAGGAAUGAAAAAGUUAGAACGAGCUUUAGGAAGCAUUAAGGAGUCAAGCUUUCAGGAGAAAUAAUUUAACUAUUUAUGGAAACAUGUUCCAGUGAAUGAUGCACAAAUACAGUACAACUAUCAAAAGGUUUGGAGGUUAGAUAAGUGAGUGUGUCACAGGGACAAGGGGAAGUAAGCAGUUAAUCAGCUCUAUAAACAUGGCACUGAAAAUCCAUUGACUUUUUAGAACUUAAAUCACUAAUUUCCCUUAUGAUAGCUGUUGAGUUCUAGAAUUUGUUAUGCUGGAACCAAAGCAUGAACUGGUUGGUUUUCUUUUUUUGGUUCAUUUUGUGGCAGGUCAUGGACUUGGUGACUGAGAAAAUUCCAUGCGCGAUAUUUCAUAUUACACUGGCAAUUAUGCUAUGAUUAUUUUUAAGGGGAAUUUUUUUCAAUUAGUAUAUUAGCUAUUUUGUAUGUUCUGAUUGUCUUACUUUGCCUAUGUUGUUGAUUUAAAGUUACUCUUCAGAUUUUCUUCAAGUGUGUUUUAUUUCCUAGCUAGGUUGUAAGCUUCUGGAACGCAAAAACAAAUGUCAUUUUCUUUUCUCUCUACUGUGGUAAAUAUAGCACUGAAGAUUGUAGGUCAAAGACUGCUUCAUUGAGAACAUGAACUUUUAUAUGACAUGGAUCAAAUACCCAAUAAUGCCCAUGUGAGGGAAAUAGAAGGAACCCUGUUAUGUGCUUGGCAUAUCCUACUGAAUUAGAAUUCAUUACUUUUCUUCAUGCUUCCUUUUUUUUAAUGAUAGUCAUUUUCAUAUUCUCUGAUAAAUACCCAGUUGUACCUCUCAUCAAAUAAAAGUAUUAAAUUUUCCAUUAUUUUAAUCGUUAGAAAUAAAUUACUAAGCACUAUUAACACUAAUUCUUUAUAAAGGAGUCUAACACUCUUCAGAGAAAAGUUCCUUGCUCAUCUUUUUUCUUAAAACCCAGUCAGAUGUCUGAGAAUCCUCGUUUUAGAAGGAGAAAGAUCUUUUCAUUUGUUUUCUUCUUUUGCAGUAUAGCCGAGUAAUUAAGACCAGGUGCUCUUGGAGCCAGGCAGACCUGGCUCAAAAUCUGAUUUGACCACAUAUUAGCUGUGAAAAGGGGUGAGUUACUUAAUCUAAGUAUGUCUUUGCCCCCAAAUUACCAUAAUAAAUUAAUUUUCUUGUGUGCUUGUGGGUGCGUUUGCUUUAAUGAAACAAUGGAAGUGGUAUGUAGAGCACAGCCUUGGUCAGAUAAUAAAUGGCUCAGGAAAUUAUUGCUGAUCCUAUUUGAUCACAGUUGGCAGAAGACUGAGUACAGUGUUUUACUUUCUCAGUAAGGAGGAAUGAACAUGUAACAGAGCUUUAGCUCGUGAUUUUGCAAGAACUAGAAAAUGAAACAAGCAGACAGUUACAGAAAGUAGAUUAUUUUCUAAAAAAUAUUG